RNAcentral lists this ribosomal RNA (301 nucleotides) under uncultured bacterium. RNAcentral describes it as "partial 16S ribosomal RNA". It matches the Rfam family "Bacterial small subunit ribosomal RNA", at positions 509 to 809 of the family's 1533-position model. The record is from RNAcentral.
CAGCCGCCGCGGUAAUACGUAGGGUGCAAGCGUUAAUCGGAAUUACUGGGCGUAAAGCGUGCGCAGGCGGUUAUAUAAGACAGAUGUGAAAUCCCCGGGCUCAACCUGGGAACUGCAUUUGUGACUGUAUAGCUAGAGUACGGCAGAGGGGGAUGGAAUUCCGCGUGUAGCAGUGAAAUGCGUAGAUAUGCGGAGGAACACCGAUGGCGAAGGCAAUCCCCUGGGCCUGUACUGACGCUCAUGCACGAAAGCGUGGGGAGCAAACAGGAUUAGAUACCCCAGUAGUCCCUGUCUCUUAUCC